RNAcentral lists this signal recognition particle RNA (95 nucleotides) under Verrucomicrobiaceae bacterium. RNAcentral describes it as "signal recognition particle sRNA small type". It matches the Rfam family "Bacterial small signal recognition particle RNA". Rfam says of the family: The signal recognition particle (SRP) is a universally conserved ribonucleoprotein involved in the co-translational targeting of proteins to membranes. Archaeal SRP consists of a 7S RNA and homologues of the eukaryotic SRP19 and SRP54 proteins. In most bacteria, the SRP consists of a 4.5S RNA and the Ffh protein (a homologue of the eukaryotic SRP54 protein). Lineage: Bacteria; Pseudomonadati; Verrucomicrobiota; Verrucomicrobiia; Verrucomicrobiales; Verrucomicrobiaceae. The record is from RNAcentral.
UGUCAGGGGCCGCGGAGGUCGAGCUUGUGAACCCCGCCAGGACCGGAAGGUAGCAACGGCAGCAUGCCUCUCCCUGUCGCGGUUCCCUGACAGCA